AUGGAAGCAGAACUCACAACACUAGAUACAGCUACGGUUGAAGCAGAUUGGCUUCGUCGGCUCUUGAAUGACUUGCCGGUUGUUGAGAAACCUGUACCGGAUAUCCUUAUGAACUGCGACAAUCAAACUGUGAUCACGAAAGUGAGCAGCUCAAAGGAUAACAUGAAGUCAUCAAGACACGUUCAGAGAAGGUUAAAUUCUGUCAGAAAAAUGAGAAACUCCGGAGUUAUUGCAUUGGAUUAUAUCCAACGUCUAAAAAUCUGGCAGAUCCUUUUACUAAGGGUCUAUCAUGUAAUGUGA
RNAcentral lists this ribosomal RNA (300 nucleotides) under Triticum aestivum (bread wheat). RNAcentral's name for it is "partial small subunit ribosomal RNA". Lineage: Eukaryota; Viridiplantae; Streptophyta; Magnoliopsida; Poales; Poaceae. The record is from RNAcentral.